This 253-nucleotide ribosomal RNA is filed under the name uncultured bacterium. RNAcentral's name for it is "partial 16S ribosomal RNA". It matches the Rfam family "Bacterial small subunit ribosomal RNA", at positions 524 to 776 of the family's 1533-position model. The record is from RNAcentral.
GACAGAGGUGCCAAGCGUUAGGCGGAAUCACUGGGCUUAAAGCGUGUGUAGGCGGAUCGUUAAGUACCUUGUGAAAUCCCACGGCUCAACCGUGGAACUGCUGGGUAUACUGGCGAUCUUGAGCCACCUAGGGGCGAGCGGAACAAGCGGUGGAGCGGUGAAAUGCGUAGAUAUCGUCUGGAACGCCAAUGGUGAAAACAGCUCGCUGGGGGUUUGCUGACGCUGAGACACGAAAGCCAGGGGAGCGAACGGG